UACGUAGGGUGCAAGCGUUAAUCGGAAUUACUGGGCGUAAAGAGCUCGUAGGCGGUUCGUCGCGUCGGCUGUGAAAUCCCGAGGCUCAACCUCGGGUCUGCAGUCGAUACGGGCGGACUGGAGUUCGGCAGGGGAGACUGGAAUUCCUGGUGUAGCGGUGAAAUGCGCAGAUAUCAGGAGGAACACCGGUGGCGAAGGCGGGUCUCUGGGCCGAUACUGACGCUGAGGAGCGAAAGCGUGGGGAGCGAACAGG
RNAcentral lists this ribosomal RNA (253 nucleotides) under uncultured bacterium. Its description in RNAcentral is "partial 16S ribosomal RNA". It matches the Rfam family "Bacterial small subunit ribosomal RNA", at positions 524 to 776 of the family's 1533-position model. The record is from RNAcentral.